GACGAACGCUGGCGGCGCGCCUAACACAUGCAAGUCGAACGAGGUUGAGAGGAGCUUGCUUUUCUUGACUUAGUGGCGAACGGGUGAGUAACGCGUGAGGAACCUGCCUCAAAGAGGGGGACAACAGUUGGAAACGACUGCUAAUACCGCAUAAGCCCACAGCUCCGCAUGGAGCAGAGGGAAAAGGAGCAAUCCGCUUUGAGAUGGCCUCGCGUCCGAUUAGCUAGUUGGUGAGGUAACGGCCCACCAAGGCGACGAUCAGUAGCCGACCUGAGAGGGUGACCGGCCACAUUGGGACUGAGACACGGCCCAG
This 313-nucleotide ribosomal RNA is filed under the name uncultured bacterium. Its description in RNAcentral is "bacterial SSU rRNA". It matches the Rfam family "Bacterial small subunit ribosomal RNA", at positions 28 to 334 of the family's 1533-position model. The record is from RNAcentral.